RNAcentral lists this ribosomal RNA (497 nucleotides) under uncultured bacterium. RNAcentral's name for it is "partial 16S ribosomal RNA". It matches the Rfam family "Bacterial small subunit ribosomal RNA", at positions 28 to 507 of the family's 1533-position model. The record is from RNAcentral.
GAUGAACGCUGGCGGCGUGCCUAAUACAUGCAAGUCGAGCGAACAGACGAGGAGCUUGCUCCUCUGACGUUAGCGGCGGACGGGUGAGUAACACGUGGAUAACCUACCUAUAAGACUGGGAUAACUUCGGGAAACCGGAGCUAAUACCGGAUAAUAUAUUGAACCGCAUGGUUCAAUAGUGAAAGACGGUUUUGCUGUCACUUAUAGAUGGAUCCGCGCCGCAUUAGCUAGUUGGUAAGGUAACGGCUUACCAAGGCGACGAUGCGUAGCCGACCUGAGAGGGGGAUCGGCCAAACUGGAACUGAGACACGGUCCAGACUCCUACGGGGGGCAGCAGUAGGGAAUCUUCCGCAAUGGGCGAAAGCCUGACGGAGCAACGCCGCGUGAGUGAUGAAGGUCUUCGGAUCGUAAAACUCUGUUAUUAGGGAAGAACAAAUGUGUAGGUAACUAUGCACGUCUUGACGGUACCUAAUCAGAAAGCCACGGCUAACUACGUG